UGUGACUGUCAACCUAUAUUUCGUGUUGA
RNAcentral lists this non-coding RNA (29 nucleotides) under Rattus norvegicus (Norway rat). The record is from RNAcentral. Lineage: Eukaryota; Metazoa; Chordata; Mammalia; Rodentia; Muridae.